RNAcentral lists this transfer RNA (86 nucleotides) under Spirochaetaceae bacterium. Its description in RNAcentral is "tRNA-Leu". It matches the Rfam family "tRNA". From Rfam's summary of the family: Transfer RNA (tRNA) molecules are approximately 80 nucleotides in length. Their secondary structure includes four short double-helical elements and three loops (D, anti-codon, and T loops). Lineage: Bacteria; Pseudomonadati; Spirochaetota; Spirochaetia; Spirochaetales; Spirochaetaceae. The record is from RNAcentral.
GCCGGAGUGGUGAAACUGGUAGACACAGGGGACUUAAAAUCCCCCGGACCGUAAGGUCUGUACGGGUUCAAGUCCCGUCUCCGGCA